GCGAGCGGCGGGGAAAGCAGGGCACGAAUACAACGCCGGGAGGGGAGGUCGGGCGCUGCUUUCCAGGAGGACCAAGCCGUGGCGCAAGCGUUAGAGCUUUACUGAGUGUAAAAAGCAGGAUUUUUAGACCAGGGACGCGCUCAACUUGGUUGCACAGGCUCAUUGGGAGUUCCAGACCAGUGCCAUUUCCCAUCUUAUUGAUACUGCAACUAAACUCAUCAGUGCUGGUGCAGCCACGGUGGGAAUAGCUGGCUUGGGAGCCGGGGCUGGCACAGUAUUUGGCAGUUUAACCAUUGGUUAUGCCAGUUUCCUAAACUACGUAGCCCUAAGCAAAGACUAACCCACAGAUGAUGAACAACAGAUCUAACAUCUUGGAAAGCAAGGUGUGGCCCGAUGAAUAUCUCCAUGUGUGUUCUGUAAAUUCUGCCAUUACUUGCUUUGGAUUCAGUUCACCCUCGAUUCUCUCUGGCAAAUUUCAAAGCUGCCUCUUAUACUAGUAGGAUUUUACCUUACAGAUCUUCCUCUGUGUCCUACCUGCAGGAACCCAUCUCUAAAGUAGCAGCUGUUUUCUUAUGCUGUCCUGGGAUUUGGCUUUUCAGAGGUCAUGGGACUGUUCUUUCUGAUGGUGGCAUUCCUCAUCCUGUUUGCCAUGUAACUGCCUUGGAGCUAUGCCGCCGUCACCCUGUGAUUCGUGUCAUCUUAGGUUUGAGAGUGCCUCUCCUGCCAGAGUGUUAUAUACUUAAACAAGAUUAUUCUAAAUAAACAAGAUUCACAUUUUA
Molecule: long non-coding RNA, 779 nt
Organism: Eublepharis macularius
Lineage: Eukaryota; Metazoa; Chordata; Lepidosauria; Squamata; Eublepharidae
Exons: 3
Source: RefSeq, a predicted model, not a curated record